UCUUAGACAAUGGGGGCAACCCUGAUCUAGCCAUGCCGCGUGAGUGAUGAAGGCCUUAGGGUUGUAAAGCUCUUUCAGCUGGGAAGAUAAUGACGGUACCAGCAGAAGAAGCCCCGGCUAACUCCGUGCCAGCAGCCGCGGUAAUACGGAGGGGGCUAGCGUUGUUCGGAAUUACUGGGCUUAAAGCGCACGUAGGCGGACUGGAAAGUUGGGGGUUAAAUCCCGGGGCUCAACCUCGGAACUGCCUCCAAAACUAUCAGUCUGGAGUUCGAGAGAGGUGAGUGGAAUACCGAGUGUAGAGGUGAAAUUCGUAGAUAUUCGGUGGAACACCAGUGGCGAAGGCGGCUCACUGGCUCGAUACUGACGCUGGGGUGCGAAAGCGUGGGGAGCAAACAGG
RNAcentral lists this ribosomal RNA (397 nucleotides) under uncultured bacterium. RNAcentral describes it as "bacterial SSU rRNA". It matches the Rfam family "Bacterial small subunit ribosomal RNA", at positions 362 to 776 of the family's 1533-position model. The record is from RNAcentral.